Long non-coding RNA from Herpailurus yagouaroundi (jaguarundi), 822 nucleotides. RefSeq lists it as uncharacterized. Lineage: Eukaryota; Metazoa; Chordata; Mammalia; Carnivora; Felidae. The record is from RefSeq and is a predicted model, not a curated record. The transcript is spliced from 6 exons.
CAGGAGGGGAGAGAUGUCCCUGGGCAGGGCCCAGCCUGAGUCCGCGUGGAAUUGUGAACCCCGACAGAGCCAGCCUUUCCUGUUGGCGACUCAGGCAGAGGUCACUGUGGCCCAUCUUCCACCCCGUGGCCAGAAGGACCCGUUAAAACCCGUUAAAAGUGGGAUCAUGAUGCCUCCUCGCUGAAGCCUCCAGCGGUUCCCAUGUCACUCAGGAUAAAAGAAGCAGCGACAGUUCAGACGCUGGAACCUUCUACAGGAGAAUGACAGACCUUGUUAGCCACUACCAGCUUCAGAAUCAGCUAACUCAGCACAAAGCAAGGAUCCCUGACUGGGAAGGAUCCAGGAAAGAGAGAUCAGAGUGACCUCACCAGAAACGUGGACACUUGGAAGGACACCAGAGACACAGAGAAGAGGAGGCUGGAGGUCCUCAAGGCACCCAGCUCCUGGCCCCGGAUGUGCAGGACUCUUUCUAGAAAGGCUCCCUCCCAGCCGUGGGACUUGACCAUCUUCAUGUUCCUGAUGACGCAGCUGCACUGUUCUAGAAGCUGAGACUGCAUCAGUGCAUAUUCCCUGCUGCCGGGAAGCUUUCAGUCCGAAGAGAGAGAGGAGCCAGGUGCAUCUGGCAAACGGGCAGGCCAAGUUGCCGAACAGCAAUCGCGCCACCCAGUGGCCAAGUGGAGAAGUGCCCAGAAGGCAAACCAGCCCACCGCCAGGAUUGGGAAAAUACUCAAAGAAAGGUGAAAGGAAGGUUAAGCUUUCUCUGGCAAAAAUAGUAUCAUUUGGAGAAAAAUGCUACAGAUGCUAACUGUGGCAACUUCAAUG